UUGAUCAAUAGUAAAUCAGUCGCUGUAGUCUCUGUAGAAGAGAAUAAAUUUGACAUUGUGAUUGGUCAGUUAUCCAGUGUGGAUGAAGAUAAAGAUGACCAACAUGAAUAUUCUAUAACUGAUCCAUCUGGACUGUUUAUUGUAGAAGGCAAUGUAUUUAAGGCAGCCACAUCUGCAGUUAUUGACUUUGAAAAAGGAAACAAUUAUACUGUAACCUUGACAACAACAGAUAAAGGGAUACCACCCAUGUCACAUGAUAAAGAAAUAGUUAUAAAUAUUAUAGAUAUAAACGAAGCACCAUUAGACAUACAGUUAUCUUAUAGUCAGGUGGCUGAGAACAGUGUUAGUGGUGUAUUGGUGGGUAACUUGACCACUGUUGAUCCUGAUAAUUCUGGACAGAUCAUACAAACCUUUACUUAUCAGCUGAUUGACGAUGGGCAAGGCAGGUUUGAAAUCAAAGGAAAUACUUUACAGGUAAAGAAAUCAUCUGAAAUGUGUAACAACAAACCGUGUAUUCUAGAUUACGAACAAGACAAAGUUGUGAAUAUAAAGGUUAAAGUGACAGAUGAUGGUACACCUCCUUUGACCUUGGAAAAGGUCAUGGCUAUCUCAGUAAAAGAUGUCAACGAUCCACCUGUUAUUGAUAUUGUAGGAAAUACUGUCCCAGAAAAUGCUGAUGCAGAUUUUGAAAUUGGAAUAUUGAAAGUAACAGACCAGGAUCGAGGACAAAAUAUCAGACUGGUACUUCUAGACAAUACUGAAGUAUUUUAUUUGAAGGAUGGUAAAACCUUGGUUGCUAAGCAGUCACUGGACCAUGAAAAUCAAGACAAGUACUAUGUAUCUAUUGAGGCUACAGAUGAUGGAAUUCCUUCAACAAGUAGUAAUACCACAGUCACAAUUGAGGUUCUGGAUAGAAAUGAAAGUCCAUCAUUUGAAGGGGAAACAACCCUGUCUGUACCAGAAUUGUCACCUGUAGCAACAGUUAUUGGUCAAAUAACAGCAACAGACCCAGACAACAAUGAUGUUUUAACCUUGAAAAUAUCUAGUAUCAGUCAAGAGUUCUCACUAUCAAAUGUCAGCUGUGAUAAACAAGCUAUAGGAGGUACCACAUGUACAGCAGAUCUGGUUACACUGGGAUAUUUGAAGUUUUUGGAGAGGUCUGUGUAUACAGUGUCCAUCAAUGUACAGGAUGAGCAAGGUUCUCUGAUAGAACAGCAGUAUACAAUUAAUGUAAUAGAUGUCAAUGAUCCUCCACAGGAUAUUUUGUUUGGGGGUUCAGAAGGUACCAGUCUUAGAAUUGAUGAGAACACAGGUGAUGUUGAUGUAGCAGAGUUAUCUGCACUUGACCCAGAUGAAGGACAGACUCACACCUUUAGUUUGGUAGAUAAAAGCAGUGUUUUUGAGCUUCAAGGAAACAUGCUGAGGGUAAAAGCUGAUGCAGUGGUAGAUUAUGAAAGCCAGACUGAAUAUCCCAUCUCUGUAAAAGUAGAAGAUUCUGGUGAACCCAGGAAAGACUUUGUAAAGAAUGUUACUGUUACAGUCAACAACAUGAAUGAAGAGAUACUAUCAGUAACACUGGAUAACAAUGAGGUAGCAGAGAACAGUGACAGGGACACAGUCAUUGGAAAUCUAUUGGUUGAAGACCCAGACAAUGUCGUGGAGACAACUCAGACCUUUAAGUUUAUAUUAGUUAACAGUGCAGACAGCAGAUUUAAAAUAGAAAAUGGUCAGAUAAAGGUUGCCCAAAGUAAUGCAAACUGUCUUUCCAUGGGAGGAGAUUUGUGUAAAUUAAAUUAUGAAUCUACCAGUCAGUAUAAUGUGGAGAUCCUAGUAACAGAUACAGGCUUAGUACCAGUCAAGAGCAAAACAUUUUUAUUGGCUAUAGAACUGAUAAAUACAAAUGAUAUUCCAAGGAACUUACAGUUGAGUGCAUAUAAAGUAGAGGAGAGUGCCACAGCUGGUACAGUGAUUGGAGAUUUAACAUUUGAGGAUGAGGACAAAGACCAGACACACACUAUCUCAUUGGUUGAUGACAAUGGAGGACUUUUCUCUGUUAGUUCAACUGGGGUGGUCACCAAGGCAACAGAUGAAGCAUUGGAUCCAUCAAGAGUUUAUGUUAUAAAGGCUAAAAUUACUGAUAAUGGAAAUCCUGAAAAAUCUACUGAAAGGCUCUUCAGUAUAACAGUUAUUGGAGAGACAGUGAUAACUUUAACCUUGACCUCUGUUGGUGGUGCUGUAUCAUUUGAUAACAAUAAACCAUCUGUUUCUGAAAACUCUACGAUUGAUACAGUGAUAGGUACCAUUAAAGGAGAACAUCAAGAUAUAACACAAGAUAUGACAUUCAGUGUCGAGGAUACAGAAAACUCUGGAGUAGUUAAAUUUUCAAAUUCCACUUGUGUGACAAAGGAUGAGAAACGAGUAUGUACAGCUGCAGUAUUGGUUGGAGCAACAUUAGACUAUGAACUACUGUCUCGGUACACUCUGGUUUGUCAGGUGACAAAUACAGAUGGAAAGAAUACAGUGGAAAUGUUUCCUUUAUCUCUCGUAGAUGUCAAUGAAGCACCAACCAAAAUAGGUUAUAGUGAAGACCAACCAUCUGUUAUUGAGAAUAUUAAUGGUUUAACACUGGGCGUGUUCAGUGUUGAGGAUCCUGAUAACACAGAUACCCACACAUACACAUUGACUAAUGAUGGGGGAGGAAAAUUUACACUGACCCAGACAGGACAAUUAUCUAUAGCAGAUGGUGCUAAUUUGGAUUAUGAAACACAGCCUUCUGUAGACAUUGAGGUCAAGGUUACUGACAGUGGAAAUUUAAGUCUGAACCAAAGAUUUACAGUACUUGUGAUGGAUGUCAAUGAAAUUCCAAUAAAAGUAGACCUGACAAACAACAAGGUUUUAGAAAUGAGUGCAGUAGGAACAGUAGUGGGAAAUUUAGUAACAGAAGAUCCUGACAAAAACCAGACUUUUACAUAUGAACUGACUGACAAUGCUGAUGGCAGAUUUGUAGUGGAAGGAAAUGUUCUUAAGGUAAAUUCCAAGGGAAAAGGUUGUGAUACCAAAGGAAAUGAGAAUUGUCUACUUGACUUUGAAUCUGAUACCAGCCAUAGUAUUGGUGUCAUGGUAACAGACGGUGGAAAUCCACCAAUGAGUAAAGAGUUUACUUUGACUGUGGAUGUGGAUGAUGAUAAUGAUUCACCUUAUAACCUUGCUAUGAAAGCUGAAAAUUUGCCAGAAAAUUUACCAACAGGAAGUAAAGUGGCCACACUAACAGUAGAAGAUCAGGAUAUAGACGACACAUUUACAUACAGCUUGACUGCUGAAGCAGAGGACACAUUCGUUAUUGUAGAUAAUACUAUAAAACUCAGUAAGGAACUAAAUUAUGAGACAAAGUCAAGUUAUACCAUCACAGUACAGGCAACUGAUAGCAGAACAGAUCCCAAACAGAUUUCUAGAGACUUUGUACUGUCAGUGAUGAAUGUAAAUGAAGCACCAUUUGGCCUUGCUUUAAAAUCAGUUUCUGGGCAGACACCAUCAUUCCAAACAAACAGGCCAAUCAUUGAUGAGAACAAACCAACAGAGACUUUGAUUGGUCGAUUAAUUGUAUUAGAUCCUGAUGUAACAGACACAGUUACCUUUGGUUCAACCUCAACAAAGAUCAAACUAUACAACCAAAAAUGCAUUCCCUUAACUCAGGGUAUUAGAUGUACAGCAGAUGUGAGAAGUUCUGAAUCAUUUGAUUUUGAGACUGAAACAUCAGUGAGCCUCUUGUUUUAUGCAGUUGACAAUGAGGGAUCUAAGAUUAGUCAACAAACUACACUAACAAUCAUUGAUGCUAAUGAUGCACCAAGUGACAUUAUAGUUGAUGGCACUUUAGAUAUCCCAGAAAACUCUGUUGAUGUUGUUAUGGCAACCUUAUCAGCAACUGACCCUGACACAACACAAACACAUAGUUUUACCAUGCUAUCAGGAUCCAAGUUUUUCUACAUAGCACAUAAUAAACUGAAGGUGACAUCAGCAGCAGAGUUGGACUAUGAGACACAGAUAAAACAUGAGAUCACCAUCAGAGUAACAGAUAAUGGGGAACCGAAUCCAUUACAUUAUGACAAAGUUUUUAUUGUGACUGUUACUGAUGUGAACGAGCCAGUUUCAUCUGUUAGACUGUCCAAUAAUAAAAUAUCUGAGAGCAGUAAAUUGGGAGAUAUAGUUGGACAUUUGAUAGCAAUAGAUCCUGAUAAUGAAGUGGGAGAGAAGCAAACAUUUACAUAUACUAUUACAGACAAUGCUGACGGUAGAUUUACAAUAAAGGAUGGAAAUAUUGCUGUUGAUAAUGCUGAUUUUGACUUUGAGAAGGAGAGGACAUACACUAUCUCUGUAACAGUACAGGACAGUGGUACACCACCGCUGACAAAAGAUGUCACCUUCAUUAUAGAGAUAACUGAUGAUAACGAUUCCCCUACUGGUUUGACAUUGUCAGCUGAAAGUAUAGCAGAGAAUUCCCCCUUAGGUACAGCAGUUGGUACUUUAUCUGCAGAGGAUGAAGAUAAUGGUCAGACCUUGUCAUAUUUAAUGUGUAAGGGAGACUUCUUCUCUGUAACGGGUAACACUGUAGUCGUUAGUGGAUCUGUCGAUUAUGAAUCCACUCCCAGUGUAACAUUUCAAGUCAGAGUGUCAGAUGAUGGAUUUCCCGUUAAGUCAAUUGCAAAGAAUUUCACCAUAUCAGUUACUAACAAAAAUGAGAAGCCAGAAACGGUAAAAAUGUUAGAAACUGAAAACGUAAAAAAGAUGGAAAUUCCAGAAUGCACACUAAUCAAUGAUGUUUUAGGCACUUUAGUGGCAUUUGAUCCUGACCAGUCAGAUAAACUGACCUUCACCUUUAUGGAAACAGGAAGUAACAUUUUCAAACUGUCGUCUACAUCACCAGAUUGCAAACAGUCAACGCAAGCUCCGUAUACUACAGAGUGUAGUACUGAUGUUUUAUUGGACAAGAUUGUCAAUUAUGAAGAUCCAGAUCACAGAACUCAUAGACUUGUUGUUAUGGUGAAGGAUCAUCUUGGUCUUCAAACUCACCAGGAAUUUGUCUUUAAUAUAGUAAACUGUAAUGAACCUCCAUAUGACAUUGAACUUGAUGGAGAAGUAACAACUAUACCAGAAAAUUCACCAAACUUUGAGAUUGGUCAACUUGAAUCUCUAGAUGAUGAUGAGGAUGACCAACACAUCUACCAAGUUAUCACUUUUUGGGAAAUCUUCACAGUAAAGGAAGGAAUGUUGAUUGCUCAGUUUCCUGUAGACUAUGAAAAGAAACAGAGUUAUGAUGUGACUAUUAAAUCCAAGGACAAUGGAGUUCCAUCUCAGUAUUUCAUAAAGACUUUCACAUUUAACGUGAUAAAUGUGAAUGAGGCACCUUCAGCUAUUGCUUUGUCAUCUUAUGAUGUAAGCAACGCUGCAGGUAUAGGUGAUGCUGUAGGCAUAGUAACGGUCACUGACCCAGACAAUAGUGGAAUCACCCAUGAACAAACCCAUAACUGUACUGUAGGGGAGGAAGGUGUUGGAGUAUUUAUUGUCAACAAUCCUAACUUGUUACUGAAGGUUAGUGGAUCGAUUCCACUUGAUAAGAACCAGAUGAACAUCAGUAUCACAUGUGAGGAUUCUGGUAAACCACCAUUAUCAAAAACUGUUUUGGUAAACAUUCAAAUCAAAGAAACCAUUGAAGUGCCAAAGAUCAUUGUUCUACAAGAUCAGAAGACUGUCCCUGAAAAUGAGGAGACUUUUACAGUUGGUCAAGUACAAAUUGUGCAUCAACUGACAAUGGACGCUUUAACAGGGCCAUUUGCAUAUCUGUUGUCAGACCAAGAUAUUCCAUUCAAACUAGAUGGUGAUUUACUGAAGAUAAAAGAACCUCUAAACUAUGAGGACCAAUCAGAGUGGGAGGUGACUGUAACAGCCUCUGGCACUUACAAUGACAAAUCUUUUAAUCUUAAAGAAUCAUUCAAGAUACAAGUUUCUGAUGUAAAUGAGACACCAAUCAAAGUUAGGGUUUAUGGAGGAGGCUACAUACAGGAAAAUAGUCAGAAUGGGACUGUUAUAGGAGACCUUAACACUGAAGACCACGAAAAGGACCAAACCUAUAGUUACUCAUUAUUAGCUGUAGCUAAAGGUUUAGAUAUUUCCAAAUCAGACCCAUAUAUAGAAGAUGCUUUUGUAUUAGAUGGCAGAACAUUAAAAAUAGGAAGUAGACCAGAACUUAUAAACUUUGAAGAAAGCAGUGUGUUUACAAUUCAAGUGAAGUCCACUGAUUCUGGUGAACCAAGUCUCUCAGUCACAGACACCAUUAACAUUGUUUUAAAGGAUGUUAAUGAUCCACCAACUGAUGUAAAUUUGGACAGUUCAGUGAUAGCUGAAAACAGUCCAGUAAACACAGUAGUUGGUAAUGUUAUUGUACAAGAUGAAGACAAAAACCAGAAACACAACUGUCAUGUACAGAACUCUGUUGUUGUACCAUUUGAUAUAACAGAUGAUCUCAAACUAAUUGUUAAGAAAGAGGAGUUGGAUUAUGAGGAAACAAACACAUAUGUUAUAGAUGUGAUUUGCAGAGAUUUUGGGCUAGAUGGAACACACUUGUCAUACCAGAAAGCACUUAUUGUUAAUGUAACAAAUAUCAAUGAGCCACCGACUGAUAUUAAAAUAACAAAUCUUGAUGUAUCAGAAUCACAGCUGCCUGGUGAAGUAGUUGGCAAAGUCAGUGCUAUGGACCCUGAAUCACAACAGCUAGUCUUUAGUGUGGAAGGGUCAGCUGUGUUUAGAAUUGAAGGACAGAAUACAAUAGUGACUAGUGGUCAGUUAAAUUUUGAGGAAACAUCUGAACACACCAUAACAGUUAAAGUAACUGAUGAAGAAGGAUUGUUUUCAUCAAAAGAAUUUGUUUUAAAGGUAAAAGAUGAAAAUGAGGCUCCAACAGGAAUAAAGUUAGACAACAACCAAGUAGAAGAAAACGUUGAAGGUGGAACUGUGAUUGGGACAUUUAGUACAGAUGACCCUGACCAAGGACAGACAUUUACAUAUAAACUACUUCCUGGAGAUAGUGAUGGAUAUUUUGCCAUUUCUGGAAACAAGUUAGUGGCGGGACAGUCAACAUUAGAUUAUGAAACAAAUAACGAAUAUAAGAUAUUAAUAGUUAGCCAGGACAAUGGGAUACCUUCUAAAUCUGUGCAGGAAGAAUUCACUAUAUUUGUCAGAGAUUUGAACGACCCUCCUGAGUCUAUUAUUUUUGGCAAUGUUUCUCCUCUUGAUGAAGACACACUUCCAAAGACUAUUGUCACAGCAAUACAGGUUGAUGACCCUGAUGCUGGCCAAUCACAUUCCUGUAACCUUCAAACCAAAUCUACACCAUUCGCCAUUUUUACCAAUGAUAAUGCAGAAAAGUCCUUGGUGUUGACUAAUGUUUUAGAUUUUGAGACAACAAAGAAUUAUAAUUUAGUGGUGCAGUGCUCUGAUGGAGAAUUUUCUAUACAGAAGAACUUACAGAUUGAUGUUAAUGAUAAGAAUGAAGCUCCAACUUCCAUUGUUUUGUCAGGGUCACAAACAAUACUGGCAGAUGCAAAAGUUGGAGACUUGGUAGGACAGUUUUCAACCAAGGAUCCUGAUCAGAAUCAAGCUCACAAUUUUGUUUUAAAAGGACCCAAUUCUGAUCUUUUCAAGAUUGAUGGGAGAAAAUUACUAGUGGAUUCAGCCAUUCCUACAGCUGUUUUGACAAGUGCAAACCCAGUGAUCACAAUUACAGUACGGGUAUCAGAUAAUGGGGAUCCUAUUCAAUAUUUACAACAAAACUUAACACUGCUAGUCACAAAUAUACAAGUAGUUGCUGCGGAACUGCCAUCUGUUGCCCUUGACAACUUGGAUGUUGCAGAAGAUUCAGAUGUUGGAACAAUUAUUGGAACGUUGUAUAAUGUUAACCAGUCAGUCGAAGAUAAUAUUAUAUUUGAAUUAGAAAAAAAUCCUGGUGGUUUUUUCUCUAUAAAAGACAAUAAACAUCUGGUUCUAGAAAAGAGUUUAGCGGACUAUGUUGGCACCUCAGUUACAAUUGUAAUCAGAGUAAGAAACGUAGAAACAUUUGAGCAGUCAUCUCAACCAGUAACAAUUCUGAUCAAACAGGUUGAUAGAUGUUUUAACGAUGGUAAAACAUGUGAUGAGAAUGCUAGAUGUGUAAAAUUGAAUGCCACAUACCAUAUUUGUCAGUGUGAACAUGGUUUUACAGGGAAUGGAUACUCGUGUUUAAACAUUGAUGAUUGUACAGGAGAGGACAGUUGUCAGAAUGGGGCUACAUGUGUUGAUGGCAUAGACACAUUUUCAUGCAUCUGUCCAAAAGAUUUCAAUGGACUUAGAUGUGAAAAUUCAUUGCAACCUGAAAACCCAUGCAAUAAAAAUCCCUGUAAAAAUAAUGCUGCCUGUAUAUCUGAGGAUGGUAAAUCUUACGUGUGUAACUGUGCUCCAGGGUGGACAGGAGGAACAUGCUCAGAUAGCAUAGAUGAUUGUCAAAACUCAGUCUGUUUGGCAGGAGGACAGUGUGUAGACAAGCAUAGAACCUACAUAUGUAACUGUCCUCAGGACAGGACAGGACCUAGGUGUCAGUAUUUUGCAAGCACAUGUAACACUUACACAUGUGAAAACAAUAAAACUGACAUAUGUGUUCCACUUUACAACAAAAAUAAUUAUGCAUGUGGCAAAUCUGUAAAACUGACAAUAGAUACACCAAAAAAUACCAACCUUGAUGAACCUGAAUAUAAAGCUAGAAUAAAUGACGUUAUCUUGGAGUUACUAGACAGGAAAGGAAUUUCAACAACAACCAGGAGACGUAAGCGUAGAAGUGUCGACAGUGGAGAGGUUCAAGUUUAUGUAGAAAGUAUCAAUAAUAACGGAGAUGGAACAGUGACCGUCAGCUUUGUUGUAUUAAAUACAAACGAUAUGGCUUUCACAAAGGAGGAAGUCAAUGACAUGCUGUUUAAAAGUUGUACAGAUUUAGAAAGUGAAAAUUUAUCUGAGACUGAGGUUUGCCCUGCAGUCAUAGGGUUACAUACAAUUGUUCCAGAAGAGAAGGAAGAGGGAGGUUUAUCUGGGGCAGUCAUUGGAGGUGGUAUAGGUAAGUUCUAUAGACAAUUGUACCAGAAGAGAAGGAAGAGGGAGGUUUAUCUGGGGCAGUCAUUGGAGGUGGUAUAGGUAAGUGCUACAGACAAUUGUACCAGAAGAAAAGGAAGAGGGAGGUUUAUCUGGGGCAGUCAUUGGAGGUGGUAUAGGUAAGUUCUAUAGACAAUUGUACCAGAAGAGAAGGAAGAGGGAGGUUUAUCUGGGGCAGUCAUUGGAGGUGGUAUAGGUGGAGCUGUAGUGUUGAUAAUAAUUAUAGGUAUUAUAAUAGUGAUAGUAAAAAAGAAGAAAACAGAUUCAGAACUUAAAUAACCAUGCAUUGCAAGAUAAUUAUAGGACAAAAUGCUGAGGAGAAGUGGAAAGAUAUACUGUUUUUAAAAAAUACAUGUGUUUUUUCCAAUAGUGUUUGUUCUAUAUAUAGGGUCUUAAUUUUAAAAUAAUAGAGUUUUUAAUACAUUUA
Molecule: RNA transcript, 9595 nt
Organism: Mytilus californianus (California mussel)
Lineage: Eukaryota; Metazoa; Mollusca; Bivalvia; Mytilida; Mytilidae
Gene name: protocadherin Fat 4-like
Exons: 50
Source: RefSeq, a predicted model, not a curated record